CAACAUGUCCAUUUUAUUUGAGUUACACAAAUCAUCCUUAUAGUUUAGGUUAAUUGGCAUGUGUAGUCGAAAAAUAAAAAUUAUAAACCAAAAGCCAGCCCAAAAUCAAAUCUAACACUAAACCUAAAUCAAAUAAACCCAUCAAUGUCAUUCCAAUUUAUACGUACUAGCUUCCUUUGAAACCGGUGGUCUCGUCCAUCGUCACCGUCUUCCUCCCACAUCGAUUACUAGAAAAAAACACGAGAAUCAUGCCGACCUUCAAUGAAAUCGAGAAACUAACUAAUGUAUUGGAUCGAAUGAAUCAAGAAAUUGAUAUGUUCGUCACUCAGAUUAAAGGCGCAAAAGCCCUAAUUGUGAAAUGCAACUGGCGUUGAAGCCACCACCAGCUCCUUGAAGCCUCCAUCUUCGGUUUGUUUUUUCAAAGUUUUGGUUUGAUUCUUUAGAUAUACGGUUUGAUUUUCCAAAUCUUUGGUUCUUUCAUCGAUUUCGUUUCAUAUCCGCGGCCCCGUAACACCAUUCAAUCAGCGACCCCCACACCAUCUAUGGCAUUCACACUGACUUCUCCGAUUUCCACAUUAACUUCUCCGCCUCCGACUACAUCGCCCACAUCUCAGCCACUCUAGACACAACACACACACAUCUCUGCCUUAUGCUUUCACAAACUAAAAAACUCUGGCUCUUACAUCUCCGGCUCUAGCCUUCCCUUCCUCACCACGAAUGACGAACCCUUUGAUUAACAGAAAAUGAGAGCUGGUGGGUUUUUUUCAUUUGCUCUGUGAUUUCCAGAAAAUGUAAUGGAUCAGAUUUUUUUUCUUUCAUCUCGAGAUCAUUGUUAUUUUUAAAACCAAUUCUAGUUUGUUCCUGAUUUUGGUUUGCUAUUUGGAAUUGAUGAUUUUGUUCAUGAUUAUUUCAUAUUAUGAUCUUUGAUUAGGAAUUAUUCUAGAAUCUGAAUGUUUUCCAUGUUCGAUAUGAGAUAUUUUCUUUUGGAUUAGUGUUAAUUACAGUGUUUUAAAUAGAUAAGGCACUAUCAAACCUUUUCUUGGAAACUACUUUUCGAACUGAUGAAUUGGUGUUUUUGAUUUCGUACUCCAUUGAUCGAUUUUGUUUUUGAUUGCUAUUGAUUACUGUUCAUGAUCUGAUUCUUAGCAUAAGUUGAAUGGUUUCUGUUAUCAAUUUGGUAUCUACUUUUCGAAUCCAAGAUUUUCAUUUCCUUGAUCUUAUGUAAUCAUAUUUUGGUUAAACUCGGCUUUAGUAUCAGUUUGGUGCUUAUUACAGUUGAAGGAGAUGAAAAGGGUGUACUAGUGGUGGUUGCCUAAAGAUACGAAGAGGAAAGAGAGAGAAAUAAGAAAAUAGUUGUAGUGGCGGUGGUUUCUGGCGUAAAUGGUGGCGGUGGCAGCGGCGAUUUCCGUCGAUGACGGUGACGAUUGCGGUGGUUUCUGGCGAAGUAGCAGAGAGAAAGAGAGAGAAAGAAAGUUUUAAAUGUGUGGUACGGGUCAAGUUGAUAAAAUAUGAAGGUUGGUAGAUUAGGGUUAAAUAUUCUAAACCAGGGACCAUUCGUGUAAUUUAUUCUAAAAGUAAUGAUGUGUCAAUAUUUCAUUGGUUAUAGUAAAGUUACCCUAAUUAUUCA
Long non-coding RNA from Lactuca sativa (garden lettuce), 1627 nucleotides. RefSeq lists it as uncharacterized. The record is from RefSeq and is a predicted model, not a curated record. Lineage: Eukaryota; Viridiplantae; Streptophyta; Magnoliopsida; Asterales; Asteraceae.